UACAGAGGGUGCAAACGUUGUUCGGAAUCAUUGGGCGUAAAGCGCGCGUAGGCGGUUACUUAAGUUGGAUGUGAAAGCCCUCGGCUUAACUGAGGAAGUGCAUCCAAAACUGAGUAGCUAGAGUACGAAAGAGGGUCGCGGAAUUCCCGGUGUAGAGGUGAAAUUCGUAGAUAUCGGGAGGAACACCGGUGGCGAAGGCGGCGACCUGGGUCGAGACUGACGCUGAGGCGCGAAAGCUAGGGGAGCAAACGGG
This 253-nucleotide ribosomal RNA is filed under the name uncultured bacterium. Its description in RNAcentral is "partial 16S ribosomal RNA". It matches the Rfam family "Bacterial small subunit ribosomal RNA", at positions 524 to 776 of the family's 1533-position model. The record is from RNAcentral.